RNAcentral lists this non-coding RNA (45 nucleotides) under Schistosoma haematobium. Lineage: Eukaryota; Metazoa; Platyhelminthes; Trematoda; Strigeidida; Schistosomatidae. The record is from RNAcentral.
AUCCAGCUGACGAGUCCCAAGUAGGAUGAAACGCGCGCCUUGCAU